ACGGUCCUAAGGUAGCGAAAUUCCUUGUCGGGUAAGUUCCGACCCGCACGAAAGGUGUAACGAUUUGGGCACUGUCUCAACGAGGGACCCGGUGAAAUUGAAGUACCUGUGAAGAUGCAGGUUACCCGCGACUGGACAGAAAGACCCCAUGGAGCUUUACUGUAACCUGAGAUUGGAUUCCGGUAAGAGAUGUACAGGAUAGUUGGGAGGCUUAGAUGCAAGUACGCCAGUAUUUGUGGAGCCAUUGGUGGGAUACCAACCUUGUUUUAUUGGAAUUCUAACGAGAAGCGUAACGAGCUUGCGGACAGUCUCAGGCGGGCAGUUUGACUGGGGCGGUCGCCUCCGAAAGAGUAACGGAGGCGCCCAAAGGUUCCCUCAGCGCGGACGGAAACCGCGCGAAGAGUGCAAAGGCAGAAGGGAGCUUGACUGCGAGACGGACAGGUCGAGCAGGGACGAAAGUCGGGCUUAGUGAUCCGGUGGUAGAGAGUGGAAUUGCCAUCGCUCAACGGAUAAAAGCUACCCUGGGGAUAACAGGCUUAUCUCUCCCAAGAGUCCAUAUCGACGGGGAGGUUUGGCACCUCGAUGUCGGCUCAUCACAUCCUGGGGCUGAAGUAGGUCCCAAGGGUUGGGCUGUUCGCCCAUUAAAGUGGUACGCGAGCUGGGUUCAGAACGUCGUGAGACAGUUCGGUCCCUAUCCAUCGCGGGCGUAAGAAACUUGAAAGGGGCUGCUCCUAGUACGAGAGGACCGGAGUGGACCGACCAAUGGUGUACCAGUCAUGGCGCCAGCCGUGCAGCUGGGUAGCUACGUCGGGGACGGAUAAACGCUGAAAGCAUCUAAGCGUGAAACCAGCCUAGAGAUGAGGUUUCUCAUUGUUUUAACAAGUAAGGUCCCACAAAGACGAUGUGGUUGAUAGGCCGGGAGUGGAAGUACAGCGAUGUACGGAGCGGACCGGUACUAAUAGACCGAGGACUUGACUUA
Molecule: ribosomal RNA, 979 nt
Filed under: human gut metagenome
Description: bacterial LSU rRNA
Rfam family: Bacterial large subunit ribosomal RNA
Source: RNAcentral